UCUGUGGAAAGCUAAGAGCAGCAGGCCUGGAGCUUUGCAGUGGCCCCUGCCUCAGGAGAUGGGACCAUUCUGUAGGUUUAUCACCAAAGGCUGAUGCCCAUUCUUCUGUUCCCAGCCUUUGUAGGGUCCUGGCAGCACCUCCUUUCCUCUCCAUCUUGUUCCCUGCACAGAGAGCCAGAUGCUACAACAAAGAAGAACACCAAACACCCAGUAGGAUGUCAGCCUCCAACAACUACAUCCAGUUCUCCCCAUGCCAGCUCUCAGCCUGAGCUUGCGUCCUUCCACACACAAAGCAGAAAGCACCAGGAUGUAGAUUCAGCCACUCCUCUCUGAGAGGUCUGUCAGAAGCUGAUGCACCGAGGACUGGGCUUGAUGACAGCUGCAUGGUCACCAACGAUGCUGAGUGAUGUGGAGUCAGCCUCAACACACCCACCCCAUGCUGAGCAGUGUCCAAAGAAAAGCCUCCUUCAUGGGAAUCUUGCUUAGCCAGGCAGGUGACAGGAUGGAUAUCACUGUCCCAUCUGCCUUCCCAUCACCACCAGUGACCACUCAGGAAGCAGGGGCUGAUGGCUGCUGUUGUCAAGGAGUCCUGCCUCUCACUGACCAGUAAAGAAGAAAUCCCCAGAGACCCUCAAAACCACCCCACUGCCCUGAGCAGGGUCACAAGUUCUUCCAGAUGGGAUGGAUUGACCCAGCCUUAGUUCCAGAGUGGGUGACAAUUUUAUUGUUUUGGAAAGCAAAUUAUUGAUAAUGAGGCUAUAACAUGGACAUAGAUGUAUCUGAUUCAUGAAUGGA
Long non-coding RNA from Mastomys coucha (southern multimammate mouse), 795 nucleotides. RefSeq lists it as uncharacterized. NCBI's taxonomy places the organism in Eukaryota, Metazoa, Chordata, Mammalia, Rodentia, Muridae. The record is from RefSeq and is a predicted model, not a curated record. The transcript has 3 exons.